RNAcentral lists this ribosomal RNA (487 nucleotides) under uncultured bacterium. RNAcentral's name for it is "bacterial SSU rRNA". It matches the Rfam family "Bacterial small subunit ribosomal RNA", at positions 501 to 987 of the family's 1533-position model. The record is from RNAcentral.
CUACGUGCCAGCAGCCGCGGUAAUACGUAGGUGGCAAGCGUUGUCCGGAAUUAUUGGGCGUAAAGCGCGCGCAGGCGGAUCAGUUAGUCUGUCUUAAAAGUUCGGGGCUUAACCCCGUGAUGGGAUGGAAACUGCUGAUCUAGAGUAUCGGAGAGGAAAGUGGAAUUCCUAGUGUAGCGGUGAAAUGCGUAGAUAUUAGGAAGAACACCAGUGGCGAAGGCGACUUUCUGGACGAAAACUGACGCUGAGGCGCGAAAGCCAGGGGAGCGAACGGGAUUAGAUACCCCGGUAGUCCUGGCCGUAAACGAUGAAUGCUAGGUGUAGGGGGUAUCGACCCCUCCUGUGCCGGAGUUAACGCAAUAAGCAUUCCGCCUGGGGAGUACGGUCGCAAGACUGAAACUCAAAGGAAUUGACGGGGGCCCGCACAAGCGGUGGAGUAUGUGGUUUAAUUCGACGCAACGCGAAGAACCUUACCAGGGCUUGACAU